GGGUCCACACAUUCAGGUGACAGCCAAACAAGGACUCUGACUCCCUCUAUCCUGAAUCUCCUGACUCCCCAGUCCAUUGCUUCUUCCAUCCAACUUUCUGUUGGAGCUAAGGAGUUUCUAGAAAUGGAUAGCAGCCCAAGAGGGGAAUGAAUCCUCCUGAACUACAAUUAAAACUUGACUGUAACUUCCUGGACCAGCCCCUGAGAGCCAAGCCACUUUAAAGAGCAGCAGACGGUGGGGACCUACUGCCACCCAGGCACAGAUGCUCAUAUUGAGUAUGGCAAGAGUGAUGUAUAUAAGACUCAAGGCACGUGAUCCAUUGGGAAUCAGGUCUACUGCUGUCAUUGUUGGGAAUCCUGAAUAUAUCAAACUUAUUUUUACAAAGGUGGAAAGGACAUUGGAACACAAAAUGUCAAAACUUGGGGAAAACAUCUAAUCCAAACCUUCAUUGUAGAGAGGAGGAAGUGGAAGAGUAGCAAAUUAUCCAUCUACCUGAUAGAAAAAGUUAACAAGAUACUAUUCCUUCUAUCAGAGCCCCAGGAAAAGUCCCACAUUGGCCUGACUCCAUUCUGAAUGAUUGUGCAGUAAGAUUCAAUUAAAGUUUAGACGUAAAAGAUGAAAAGAAAGCUUCAGGAUCAGCCUUUCCCCACAUUCUUCUUAGAAGAGAGGUGAGAUUAUAGGUACGUUUUCUACAAUUAGACUCAUAUUGUUCAAACUGGAAGAGCCCUUAGAAAACCCAGUUCUACCGUUGAAGGACCUAGGAUGAGUCUCCUAUCCUCUCUGGACUUCAAUUCUCUCCCAUAAGCCAUCACUCUGAUCUUCCUCUCAUUACCAUGAUUUAAUCUAAACUUUUCCUUUUGGAUAUAAGAAAACUAAGAACCAUGUUAGUCUCCAAGUUUUUCUAAUACCAGUGCUCUCCAUCAACUAUUCCACAGAACAUCCAAUGCUCUCCCCAGUCCCUCGCAAAGCACAACAUUCAGAGGUCCAUCCACUAACCUGAUGUACACUAAUGAUAACUCUCCCUUGCAAAAUUCAACUACAA
RNAcentral lists this long non-coding RNA (1042 nucleotides) under Monodelphis domestica (gray short-tailed opossum). Its description in RNAcentral is "lncRNA (ENSMODG00000049682.1)". Lineage: Eukaryota; Metazoa; Chordata; Mammalia; Didelphimorphia; Didelphidae. The record is from RNAcentral.